Molecule: ribosomal RNA, 598 nt
Filed under: Scrippsiella trochoidea
Lineage: Eukaryota; Dinophyceae; Peridiniales; Peridiniaceae
Description: partial Bacterial small subunit ribosomal RNA
Rfam family: Bacterial small subunit ribosomal RNA
Source: RNAcentral
CCGCACAAGCGGUGGAGCAUGUGGUUUAAUUCGAUGCAACGCGAAGAACCUUACCUACACUUGACAUGCAGAGAACUUUCCAGAGAUGGAUUGGUGCCUUCGGGAACUCUGACACAGGUGCUGCAUGGCUGUCGUCAGCUCGUGUCGUGAGAUGUUGGGUUAAGUCCCGCAACGAGCGCAACCCUCGCCCUUAGUUGCCAGCAUUUAGUUGGGCACUCUAGGGGGACUGCCGGUGAUAAGCCGAGAGGAAGGUGGGGAUGACGUCAAGUCCUCAUGCCCCUUACGGGCUGGGCUACACACGUGCUACAAUGGCGGUGACAAUGGGCAGCGAACCCGCGAGGGGGAGCUAAUCUCAAAAAGCCGUCUCAGUUCGGAUUGUUCUCUGCAACUCGAGAGCAUGAAGUUGGAAUCGCUAGUAAUCGCGUAACAGCAUGACGCGGUGAAUACGUUCCCGGGCCUUGUACACACCGCCCGUCACACCAUGGGAGUUGGGUUUACCCGAAGGCAGUGCGCUAACCGUAAGGGGGCAGCUGACCACGGUAGGCUCAGCGACUGGGGUGAAGUCGUAACAAGGUAGCCGUAGGGGAACCUGCGGCUG